UUAUAAAUUACGUGUAUCACAAAUCCGCUAAAACUAGGUACUAUAGAAGAACUCAAAAAGAAGAAAAAAUGUGGAAAAAAUGAUCCAAACAGGAUGAAACGUAAUUAAAGAAUGAAGUUUAACCGAAUAUUAAUUACAUGAUAAUCCGACAAUUAUUCACAAAGUUGGUUUAAUUAGUGAAAAGUGAUGAAGUCCGAUGUGUCACUUGGGUGCAUAAUCUUUGAACUCGAUGAUGAUGUUGCUGCUGCCGCCAUCCAUUGUCAGAUUACCCUUCUGGUGUUUUCCUUAUCACGUUCGAGACGGUUUGUACCUUCACGAGAGAUAUUGAAAUUAAACAACUACCUACCGAAGAAUUAAUUUCUAACCUCAAGUAACCAGCGUUUCUUUCCUACGUUUCGAAAUACGUAAUUGGCAGUUAUCGUAGGCUCGGUUUAAACCAAAUCCAUGAUAACUGAAACAAUUGUUUUCAGCCCUGUGUAGGCAAGCAAAGUAGAUAAGUAUAUUUUUGAACUUGUUAAAAUGAAACUAAAAUUCGUUAUCAAAGUAAUGAAGGCUGUAGUGAAUCAAUGAGCAUGGUGAUCAACAAUGAUCAACCACCAAGUCCUCUAUACUGUAGGUAGAGGUAUACUAUAGAUGAAUAACAAAAAUAGACACCGAGUCUUAUAGAACUUGUAACGAAUAAAUUAAAAUUGGUCAUCAAUAGUGAAGAAUAAAUGUCAGUAGGACAACGACCGUCGCAGUAUUUUUCCUCGCGAACUUUACCGGCUGGAGUAUAAUUUAUCGAAUUUAACUGAUAACAGUCCAAUGACGACCGAAAAAUUCCUUGUUCUGAACGAUCAUUCGUCAACGAAAGUGGAGAAAAAACAUUUCAAUUUUACACGUUCGAGAACCAAAACCGAAUAAUUUGAAAACCCGAAUGAUGAAUUUCCGCACAUUUUCCGAUAAGAUGAGAUAAGGUACUGAAAAACUGCAUUCGAUUUCCAGCACCCUUUUGAAUUGAUACGCCUGCGCAAUCGUCACUUCGUCAGCAUUUUUAUAUCGUGAGUUUAUUCGUUCGUAAAAGGGAGAAGUCACGUUAAAAAAGGUAUAUCCAUACAGAGUAGGUAUACUUACAUGUAGAUAAAAUUGGCCAAAUUAGUAACCUAAGAAAGUAUUAUUGGAAAAUACGCGAAUACCCAGCACAAAACGGUACCGAAAAAAAAAAUCGCACGGUUUUAUCUAAAGGUAAACAACGACCGAGUGUGCACGCGAGUGUGUCUAUGAGAAA
This is a long non-coding RNA of Planococcus citri (citrus mealybug), 1267 nucleotides long. RefSeq lists it as uncharacterized. The record is from RefSeq and is a predicted model, not a curated record. The transcript has 6 exons. NCBI's taxonomy places the organism in Eukaryota, Metazoa, Arthropoda, Insecta, Hemiptera, Pseudococcidae.